RNAcentral lists this ribosomal RNA (253 nucleotides) under uncultured bacterium. RNAcentral describes it as "partial 16S ribosomal RNA". It matches the Rfam family "Bacterial small subunit ribosomal RNA", at positions 524 to 776 of the family's 1533-position model. The record is from RNAcentral.
UACGGAGGGUGCAAGCGUUAUCCGGAUUCACUGGGUUUAAAGGGUGCGUAGGCGGUCAAGUAAGUCAGUGGUGAAAUCUCCGGGCUUAACCCGGAAACUGCCAUUGAUACUAUUUGUCUUGAAUACUGUGGAGGUCAGCGGAAUAUGUCAUGUAGCGGUGAAAUGCUUAGAUAUGACAUAGAACACCAAUUGCGAAGGCAGCUGGCUACACAAAUAUUGACACUGAGGCACGAAAGCGUGGGGAUCAAACAGG